Molecule: long non-coding RNA, 550 nt
Organism: Peromyscus californicus insignis
Lineage: Eukaryota; Metazoa; Chordata; Mammalia; Rodentia; Cricetidae
Exons: 2
Source: RefSeq, a predicted model, not a curated record
UCCCGACUGGACCAGAGAUCAUCCCUCACUUCAGCUCAAGCCUGAUAGCUUUAAAGAAAGAUGCCUCAGACUCACGCUGUAGCUCUAAGGUGGUGAGAAUUGCUGGAGACAGGCCGUAGACACUAACACAAAUACGCACUUUUCCAUGCCCAUGAUCUGAGCUCUGGGCGGGAAUGACAAAAUAUCCAAGCGGUUAGCAAGACACUAAGACACUAACUGUGCUGAAGAAGACUCUGCCUAUCAACUGUUUACUCAUAGGACAUCACAACUGUGAUUGGCUACACUGAUGGUACCUGAUGGUAGAGAACCAGAAGAUUCCAGCCUUAAAUUCUUGUACUGGCUCUAAGUAGCUGUGGGCUUUGUUUUGUUUUUUUUUGUUUGGCUGUUUUUUUUAUUUUGUGUUUUUUCUAAAAAGCACGGUAUCUGAGCUUGUGUGUAGAAUGGUAACAGUGGUAACAACAUCCACCUCAGAAUUUGCUGGGGAAAUUAAAUAUGAUGAUAAAAAAUAGCGUAAUAAAUUAAAUAAAUAUUAUUCUCUUGGAACCUCUUA